CUAAAAGCUUAUUUUUAUUUGCAUUUAUAGAUCUUAAGCUCGUUUCUGCACUGUUUUACUGAAAAACCCAUUAAAAGAGUCAGUGAAUCUUGUAGAAAAUGGCGUUCAGCGAUCUUACAUCGAGGACUGUGCGUUUUUAUGAUAAUUGGAUCAAAGAUGCUGAUCCAAGAGUUGAAAACUGGCUCCUCAUGUCCUCGCCUCUGCCACAAACCAUCAUCCUGGGGCUCUACGUCUAUUUUGUUACAUCUCUGGGACCAAAGCUCAUGGAGAACCGGAAGCCCUUUGAACUCAAGAAAGCGAUGAUAACGUACAAUUUUUUCAUAGUACUGUUUUCUGUGUAUAUGUGCUAUGAGGCAAGUGUCUUCGGUAUUCCUAACGGGAAAAGUUCGCCUUGGUCCAUUGUUAUGUGUUUGUACGUUUUUGUUAUGACUGUUGAGUUCCCCUGUUUUGAGAAGGGAGGAAUUCAGAGACUAAGCAGUUGUUUACCACAACAAAACAAAAGCACCAAACUCAUCAUGUCUAGAUGAAAUAAACUGAGGAUCUCAGGACAGUUUCCAUUGUGACAGAGAGGGAAAAGAAAAACAACAUUUAGCUCAGAGAUUCGCACAUGGUAAACAUUGGUUUUGAGGGAACACAUACUCAGAGAAAAGAAUUAAUGAACUCGGAGUGACCGUGGAUAAGCAGUGGCUGGUCCUGGAAUGCGUACAACCCCAGAGCUAGGUGCUGACGUGGCUGUUUAGUUUUAUAGACUUGGAGGCCAGAAAGGGCAUACAUUUAUUCCAAGUCUUAAGUAGUAAAGCCCUGCCCCUUUUUUAUAAGACAAAUAGGAACCUUCCAGACCGCAGUGGAGAUUGUACAUUUACUCUCUGCCCCUCUGUUCGUCACAUGUCUCCACUGCCUUGAAUACCUAGGUCUCUAGGGUUCUUGGCUGUAUUUCCAACCUUGGCUGGCUUCCUCUUUUCUGUUGGCUUUCUCUAUAGCAUACCUUGUGCUUGCUCAUAUUAGGAAUCUGUGAGGAGGCCUGGUGGCCUACCUGGCUGCCAUGAUACCCACCUCCUUCCUGCUACAGACUAUAUAACUCUAGCUUCCCUCUGCUGCUGGUCACUUCUUUGUUUCUUGCACUAACCCACAGGUCACUGCUUUUUGUCCUUUCUAGAUUAUGGAUAGUUCCUUGCAUGUUCAGAGAGGAGAGGAGAGGAGAGGGAGAGAAGUUUACCCUCAAUGUGAAUGUUUAU
RNAcentral lists this long non-coding RNA (1235 nucleotides) under Rattus norvegicus (Norway rat). RNAcentral's name for it is "long non-coding RNA NONRATT032569". The record is from RNAcentral. Lineage: Eukaryota; Metazoa; Chordata; Mammalia; Rodentia; Muridae.